UGUUUCUAUUUUUGCCUGCUAGGCCUUGGCCCGGUUUGGAAUAUACUCCCUCCGCUCCGAUCCGAAAUUGUUCACGCAAUGACGCGACGGUCUUUUUACGAAAAUCCCCUUCAUUUUCUUUCUCUUCGGCUCUCCCUUCUCCGCCGCUCUCCCUCUCGCCUCCUCACCCGCGCUCCCCUCGAUUCUGCUACGCUCCACCUUCUCUUUGCCUCCGCCGCGCUCCCCUCUGUUCUCCGCUUUUCUCCCACCAGAAAAGGGCGCCUCCUUUUUGUCCAAGAAGUGGAUCUCGCCGGAUCCGGUGGCUUCAGGCGCGCCGGCGUAGGAGCUUGAGGAGUACUCCGCCGCAGCCCGAGGAUCGAGGAGAAGCAGGAGCGAGAAGAAGAGGAGCAGGAGCGGCUCAAGGCGGCGGCGCGACUAAGAGCAGCAGCAGCGGCUCAAGGAGUGGAGCAUAUCUGGAAUCCAUAUCAAGAUAACUGCUGUACUCUACUCCUAGGUUACUCUGUUGAGGUUUGCUGAUUGUUGUACUCCUCCUAAGUUUCUGUAUAGCAUGAGUUUCUGUAUAUGGAGUAUCUUUGCUGAUUGCUACGAGAAUCUGCUAGGAAUGCUUUGCUGAUUGAUGUAAGUUUGUGCCUUGAGAUGUGAUUUUGCUUUUAGUAUUCUGAAUGCAAAAGCCUUUAGAUUAGGGCUUUUCAGUA
This is a long non-coding RNA of Brachypodium distachyon (stiff brome), 695 nucleotides long. RefSeq lists it as uncharacterized. The transcript is spliced from 2 exons. Lineage: Eukaryota; Viridiplantae; Streptophyta; Magnoliopsida; Poales; Poaceae. The record is from RefSeq and is a predicted model, not a curated record.